RNAcentral lists this transfer RNA (75 nucleotides) under Bifidobacterium callitrichidarum. Its description in RNAcentral is "tRNA-Gln". It matches the Rfam family "tRNA". From Rfam's summary of the family: Transfer RNA (tRNA) molecules are approximately 80 nucleotides in length. The record is from RNAcentral. Lineage: Bacteria; Bacillati; Actinomycetota; Actinomycetes; Bifidobacteriales; Bifidobacteriaceae.
UCCCCAGUAGUGUAACUGGCAACACACCGGACUUUGGAUCCGUUAUUCUUGAUUCGAAUUCAGGCUGGGGAACGA